RNAcentral lists this unclassified non-coding RNA (108 nucleotides) under Clavaria sp. Ceska110410. Its description in RNAcentral is "internal transcribe spacer 1". The record is from RNAcentral. Lineage: Eukaryota; Fungi; Basidiomycota; Agaricomycetes; Agaricales; Clavariaceae.
UCGAAUAAAAGAGAUGUGCGUCUCGCACUCUCGAAUCCUAUUCACCUGUGCACCGAAUUUUUUAYAUGCUCUYUGAAUAAAAAAUAUGUUUUGUACCAACACUUAACA